Molecule: long non-coding RNA, 738 nt
Organism: Erinaceus europaeus (western European hedgehog)
Lineage: Eukaryota; Metazoa; Chordata; Mammalia; Eulipotyphla; Erinaceidae
Exons: 4
Source: RefSeq, a predicted model, not a curated record
UUCUUAAGUUAGUUGACUGUGGAUACAAGCCCUCUCAGAUAGGGAUAGGCUUUAGUGCUGUCAAGGAUGUCUUUUAGCUUCUGUAAUUCUUCUCAGAGCUCUCUCUGCGAAAUUCUGAAUUCUUUGUUGAAUAGAUCUCAGAAUUCCUUGAUUUGAGUUUGUACGUUAUGAUUGGAGUCCUGAAGCACCUUCAUAAUUAUCUUUUUUUUUUCAUAUUCCAACAUGUUUUCAUAAUCCUUAUGGAGAUAAAUAUUUGUAUUUUUCCCCAUGUUUUUGUUGGGUGUGUUUUCUGCUUUUCAACCUGCAGGAGGCGCUGUGGUGGUGUGGCAGAUGUCUGCGGCACAUUUCCAUUGACAGGUUAUGUUAAUACCUCCAACUCAACAUGCAUGAAACUUCUAAGAACUCAAGACACACGUCAGAGUUGGCUACUGAACUGCACUCCUCUUACAGUAUGAUGGUCCUGUCUUGAUCUUAUUUCCCAUGAAGAAGAAACCUCUAUUGCUGACCCUUAACCGCAGCAGGAAAUACAGAAAGGAAUCAGGACACUGGAGAGGUGGGAGUUCCAGGACACAUUGGUGAGGUUGUCUGCCCAGGGAAGUCACAUUGGAGUCAUGGUAGCAUCUGCAGCUUGGUCUCAGAAUUUCCUGAUGCAUGUAGCUAUAUUACUCUAUGCUAUCCUAUUGUAAUAUAAUACAAUACCAAUAUGCUACAAAAAUUAUUUCUGUAGAACUUCCUUUU